Molecule: ribosomal RNA, 301 nt
Filed under: uncultured bacterium
Lineage: Bacteria
Description: partial 16S ribosomal RNA
Rfam family: Bacterial small subunit ribosomal RNA
Source: RNAcentral
CAGUAGCCGCGGUAAUACGUAGGUGGCAAGCGUUGUCCGGAUUUAUUGGGCGUAAAGCGAGCGCAGGCGGUUUCUUAAGUCUGAUGUGAAAGCCCCCGGCUCAACCGGGGAGGGUCAUUGGAAACUGGGAGACUUGAGUGCAGAAGAGGAGAGUGGAAUUCCAUGUGUAGCGGUGAAAUGCGUAGAUAUAUGGAGGAACACCAGUGGCGAAGGCGGCUCUCUGGUCUGUAACUGACGCUGAGGCUCGAAAGCGUGGGGAGCGAACAGGAUUAGAUACCCCGGUAGUCCCUGUCUCUUAUAU